CGAUUAAACAUUCGUUCUGGCGUCGAUAAACGACGAUAGUUUCAGAAGCGCCGUGUUAGACCAUACCUGAAGUCGUAGAUCGAGCCGUGCAUCUUCUUCAUGCACCUCAGGUGCCUGACAAGAUUGUCCUUUCUGCAGAUAGAGCUACCUUUUGGUAUUCUAUUGACAAACUGCGAAAAUACUAGUUUCAGAAUGUGAUAGGCAGCGAGGAAACUAUAUUCCAAAGGAACUAAUAAGGUAACCAUCUGGUAAAGAAAUCCUGGUACACCCCGUGGGACGUGUUUUAAAGUUGGAAGUAAAGUUUUAGGCGAACGGAAGAACCGGAUGCAUUAUUACCUGCCAGGGCAACGGCCUGUAAUGGGGCGAAGGAAAACCCCCGGAUCGCCACCAUAAAUUCCAUCGAUCUUUGAAUACAUUAUUGUCGCCGCUGUAUUCCCUCCAGCCGCGUUCCGUGCAAACCUGUGGAAAAAUAAAUGUGCACUGUUUACAAAGCAGAAUGGGUCACCACGACCGUUUCAGGGCACGGCGAGCAUGUAAACCAGUGGCAUCGCAGUGUCGUCCAAGGGGCGGACGGUGGAGCAGUGUGUAGCGUAGCCGACUACCAGGCAGGCAGCUCGGGUUCGAAUCUCGGCCGUCCGCCUCAGUUUUUCAAGGUAUAAAAGGUAUCGGAAGCCUGUGGCUUAAAUUUGAGAAGUAAUGAAAAGAUUAAGAUAAUAAAAACAGAGAUGUUAUGGAAAAAGAAAAGGUACACGAUAAGUGCAAUAGUCGAAAAUGUACAUGCACUCCUGAAUUUUAGGCUCAGGCGUCGUUUAAAUUCCAAAUAUUACGCAUUCCACGGUUGGCGAAGUUUGUAUCGCGCACGCGAAAAUAGUGGAGAACGCCUUUGAUUUAUUUGUCGUGUUAUUAGAGCAUUAGGAAUGGCUGCCGGCGAUAUAUUAAAACCGAGCCAAGGCCUCUAAUUACAAUUACAUCCGACUGCGCGUCCCUUUCUCGCUGUUACCGGUAGCCUACUUUUAUUAUUCGGCUGUAUAAUGGAGCGAUUUCUUACAACUUCGUAAUCGAUCCGCGGCGAAAGGACGUCGACACCAUUUACACCCCCGUUACCACAAUCCAGAAUCGUUUCGUCUCGCUAUUGAUAGUACGAGAAGAGGAAAUUGAAUCGCAGCCGCGGCUCGAUCGAAUGUUUCUUGAAUCGACGAGACGUUCUUUCGCUGCACAACUCGAACAAUGAAUCCUGCUCUAAUAAUAAACGAUCGACUGGGUUUGGCGUCGCGUUAGCUCGGUCUCCUUACCCAGAAUCUUCGACGGCAUCGUUUUUGCGCAACCCUACGCUCCGGCGACCGAAAAUCUAGACUCUGGGGCUAGACUGGUGCACUAUUUAUAUUGAAAUAAUUUGUUGUUAUCCAAACGAUGCCCAUCCUUGUCUCAGAGUCACAAUUAUAGAGGGUUCGCGAGGAGGAAAUGAUUGCAUAACGAAAACGACGCUACGGCUUGGCGUAAUGCUACCACCAAGAAUCUCUUAUCGAGGAAGCCAGCGAUUCGUACAAGGAAAACGGUCCUGUUAACCCUUUAUAGGACAGAACACCCUGGGCAUCUUUUUUUUUCACUUUUUCUUGUGGAUGAGCGUAGAAACUUACAAGUACAAAAUUUCCGCCCCUUCGUGGUAACGAGUAUCGGUGACCUAUAAAGGGUUAAUGCGAUAGACGACGACUCUAUUCUUCGCCCUUUUAUUAUUGCGUGUGGCACAUUGUUAAUAGCCCCCGCUGGUGGUUCUAAAAGUGGUGCACGCAAAAGCGCGUCGCAUCCCGUCAGACUCGGCAGGUAUGCACGUGCCUACGUACACCGUGCGUACCUUGAAAAGUAUUCAGUUCAAGGUCACGGCUAAGUUUGUAACCGUGCCGAACAAACACCGAGCGACAUAAAACCGUGACGUAACGUAUCCAACGUUCGCGUACACCCUACGGCAAAGGUUCUCUCUAAAUUUGGAAUUUUCAUCGCCGAAACGUUUUCACAGUCGGACGCGCUUUCGAUUUUCCGUUUUGUUUAACGAUAUUGUACCUGUAUGAGGAGAUGCGGUCCUGCACCAUUGUCGUUAAGUCUGAACACGAAGGGUCCGUCCAAGUACUUCACUGCCAUACCGGAACAUUGUACUCAAGCGGGAGACGGGAAGACAAUUUUAACAGAUCAUGACGCAACUCGAUGGGGAUUCUUCUUUUUCGAAGAACAGAGGAAACGGGGGUGCUCGUCUGGAAAUGAACGUCGAAUUGUCAGCGUGGCUAGUUGAAAUAUUCGAGCCAGAUGCGGAGACCAGGAUUAUGCAACGUUUCAAGUUUUAUGAGAAGUUAUAAAAGAAGAAUCAAAAGGCAUGAUUCGCUAUCUCACAACAUGGAGGAACAUAAACUUGAGUGGAGACCAAGGGUGGAAGACUAUAAAACGUUGUAUAUAUUUACUAUCUCGCAACAUGCAGAAAGAUAAACUUGAGUGUAGGCCAAUGUUUAAAUGUAAACCGUAAAUGUGAACAGUAUGCAUCACUUUCUUCGAUAACAAGACCACGCAAUUGAUCUCAUCCUGAGUAGUCUUCAGCGGCCAGUGAAAUCCUUCAGCGAGGGCUGGUCGUUCGUCGAGCCGACAUGCUCCGCGAGCAGCCUUUGGCAUUCAAAUAUUUCAACGGAACCGCAUGCAGGCGGGACGGAAUCCCAAUUUCCACUGGGUGCACCCGCCACGUUUAGGUCUACGCAAUCGCUUUGACCUGCUCGCAGGUGCGCAGGUUGCUCGUAUGCCGGAUUCCUCGACGCUGCUACAGCUUUUAUGGGCUUUCGGUGGACACCGCGACACCGCAAGGACACCGGAAGUCUACCAGGUCGCGGCUCUGCGAAAGAAUUCCGCUGAUAACCGCUCGCGCUGAUAGUUAUCCUCGACACGCGACCCUUCGCUUGCGGUUCAGACUAGUCCAAUAAUUAAAUACUCCAGUGUAUCUAUCUCACGACAUGGAGGAAGAUAAACUUGAGUGGAGACCAAGGCUGUGAACGUUUCAAGUUUUAUAAAAGAAGUUUUAAUUAAAACCUGAAGUGUAUCUAUCUCACGACAUGGAGGAAGAUAAACUUGAGCGUAGACCAAGGCUAUGCAGUGUUUUAAGUUUUAUAUAAAAAGAAUCAAAGAGUAUCACGCUGGCAGAAUGAUACCAAAUAAUCUAGUAAACGUAGGUGAAAUGAUUAGGCCCGCUUGGCUGCCCGACUAAAGGAAAGUGUCAGGUGCUGACGGGUCAAGUUCAAGCUUCUCACGCG
This is a long non-coding RNA of Hylaeus volcanicus, 3284 nucleotides long. RefSeq lists it as uncharacterized. NCBI's taxonomy places the organism in Eukaryota, Metazoa, Arthropoda, Insecta, Hymenoptera, Colletidae. The transcript is spliced from 8 exons. The record is from RefSeq and is a predicted model, not a curated record.